GCCGCUGUGGUGGAAUAGGCAGACACAAGGGACUUAAAAUCCCUCGAUGGCAACAUCGUACCGGUUCAAGUCCGGUCAGCGGCACCA
Molecule: transfer RNA, 87 nt
Filed under: Candidatus Ruthenibacterium avium
Lineage: Bacteria; Bacillati; Bacillota; Clostridia; Eubacteriales; Oscillospiraceae
Also listed under: 1 other name
Description: tRNA-Leu
Rfam family: tRNA
About the family: Transfer RNA (tRNA) molecules are approximately 80 nucleotides in length. Their secondary structure includes four short double-helical elements and three loops (D, anti-codon, and T loops).
Source: RNAcentral